RNAcentral lists this ribosomal RNA (467 nucleotides) under uncultured bacterium. Its description in RNAcentral is "partial 16S ribosomal RNA". It matches the Rfam family "Bacterial small subunit ribosomal RNA", at positions 28 to 507 of the family's 1533-position model. The record is from RNAcentral.
GACGAACGCUGGCGGCGUGCUUAACACAUGCAAGUCGAACGGAAAGGCUCCAGCUUGCUGGAGUACUCGAGUGGCGAACGGGUGAGUAACACGUGGGUAAUCUGCCCUGCACUCUGGGAUAAGCCUGGGAAACUGGGUCUAAUACUGGAUAUGACCUUUCUCGUUAUGGGGUUUGGUGGAAAGUUUUUCGGUGUAGGAUGAGCCCGCGGCCUAUCAGCUUGUUGGUGGGGUGAUGGCCUACCAAGGCGACGACGGGUAGCCGGCCUGAGAGGGUGAUCGGCCACAUUGGGACUGAGAUACGGCCCAGACUCCUACGGGAGGCAGCAGUGGGGAAUAUUGCACAAUGGGCGGAAGCCUGAUGCAGCGACGCCGCGUGAGGGAUGACGGCCUUCGGGUUGUAAACCUCUUUCAGCAGGGACGAAGCGUAAGUGACGGUACCUGCAGAAGAAGCACCGGCUAACUAUGUG